Molecule: long non-coding RNA, 27451 nt
Filed under: Citrus sinensis (sweet orange)
Lineage: Eukaryota; Viridiplantae; Streptophyta; Magnoliopsida; Sapindales; Rutaceae
Description: long non-coding RNA (CSIN_LNC000034)
Source: RNAcentral
CUUGUUCAUACUGAUAGAUGCGUAACAAGAAAGAUUGUCAGCCUGCAUUUAUAAUACAUUACAUUGUGUAGGUAUGCCAUUGUUGACAUUUGACGAGACUGUAACAAAUUCACUUGUGUGAAAAGACCAAUUAACUCCAUGUUCUUACGAGUCAAAAAGAUUGCGCGCGAGAGCGCGCACCUGCACACACACACAUAGUACUUCUUUAUUGCAGAUGCCUUCAUUUUCUUUUCAUAUGAACACAUUUUUAAACUAUAUAAUUUAAGAAAAUUAGUUUUUUACUCUUUUAAACUACAUGACUUUAUAAUUCAUUAAAAAAUAAUUCCCUUAAACCAUAUGAUUUAAGAGCGUAUCCGCAUUAAAAAAAAUAAAGGGCCCACACAAUGACUAUAUACAUAUAUAUAUAUAUAUAUAUGAAAGGGCAGAGAGAUUGGCGUAGUUUGGAAAUGUCAUAUUAGAACAUUUCUAUAUGAGAUUUUGAUUUCUAUAUGAGAUUUUGUCUUUGGUUAUGAUGGUAGUGAUGUAAGGGGGAAUGGAGGUACUGUGCUAAUGCGUUUCUCACUUUACUUGUUUCUUGUUGAAUUUAAGUGGCACAACUCUUUCUGCUAGAUUGUAUUAAUAAUAGCAAUUGAUUUGUCUGCUUAACCUUUUCAUUUGAGUGGUGUUGUAGAAUGAUCAUGGUCUGAACUAGAGGGAGCUUUGAUCACCACGUGUCUUACUCGACUUAUUAUUUGUUAUAGAUUGACAAGAUUAUAAUACCGUCAACAACUGGGCUAAUGAGUGUUCUUCCUGGGCAUGCGUCUAUAAUUGCUGUGUUGAAAUCUGGCGUCCUAUCAGUGCAUGAAGGAAAUGAAGUAAUAAAAUAUUUUAUCAGCAGUGGCUUUGCACUUAUCCACACAAACUCUUAUGCGGAAAUAAUUGCUGUUGAGGCUGUGCCACUUGAACAAAUUGACCCAAGCCUAAUUUAGAAGGGACUCGCUGAGUUUACCCAGAAACUAAGCUUAGCCUCAAGCCCUCAACCAACUUAGAGAAAGCUGAAGCCCAAAUUGGAGUUGAUGUGCAUGUUGCUCUAAACUCUGCUCUCACUGGGAAGUGUUAGUGUUACCAGUCAUUUUACUCCCUGUUAAGUUUGUGAUAUAAAGCCAAAAGUUUGUCUGAAAUUCUGUAUGUGCUUUUUGUGUUGUACAUUGAUCUAAUAUUAAUAAUUUUUGUCUCGGAUUCUUUACACUUUAGUAGGCUUGCUGCUUGCUGCGGCCUGCAAGAGUGAACCUGCGCCAUCAUGUUUGAGGCGUGUUUGAUAUUGAGGUAUCUAGAUUGGAUAAUUAUAAUUUAAAAACUGUAAUAUUAAAGUGUUUAAUAAACUGCUGUAGUUUGAAAGGUAAGAUGAAAAACCUAUAAGAAAUAUAUUACUUAAAGUUAUAUUUAUUGUAUACUGUUAACUUUUAUUUCAUUGUUAUUAAUUUUUUCUUUUAGUAGUACUUCAUUAUCGAAUUGGGUGUGUUAAGAAAAGGAAGUGGCUCAUCUUGGAUUCAACUUGUUUCUACCCAUGAUAGGCUCUAAGGAAUGCAUUUCUUUUUUUAAAAAAAACCAUUAUUAAGUUUAUUUUCUUGUUUAAAGAAAUACAACAAAUACAAUAACAUAAGGUUGUAGUUUUGAGCUAAUUUUUACGAAGGUUGUUGAGAUGUUUUUUUCCCUCUCGCAACACCAGUUUGACAUUACCUUGUUUACGUUUUUAAACUAAGAGGCCAGUUUGAUAAUACUAUAAUUUUUAAAAUAAUUCAUGUUAGUUGUUUAAAUAAUUAAUUGUGAAAAAAAUUAGAUAAAAGUUUAGUAAAAUUUAUCUUUAAAAGUGCUGUGAGUUUUAAAAGUAAUCAUAUGUGUUUAGUAAAUCUUAUUGUUAAACUAUUGUAAUAAUAUAAAUAACUAAAUUGGAUAUGAUGUUAAAUAAAAUUUUUACAAUACGAUUUACCAAAUACAUACGAUUUUUUUAAAACCCACAACACUUUUACAAAUAAACUUUACCAAACGUUUAACUAAUUCUCUUUAUAACUAAUUAGAUUUAUAGAAGGGCUAACAUCAAAUAUUUUAAAAACUACAAACUCAUCAAAUUGGCCCUAAGUACGUUGCCGCUGGCUAGCAAUUCCUAAGUUUUUUGUUAUGCCUAAGUAAGAAGAUUACUUUUAUUAUUAUUAUUUUUUAACAAAAAAAAAAAAAACUAUUGGUUAGACGUAAGGAUAGCAAUAUGUAUCACCCACUGCGGGUUUGUCACUGCGGGUUUGUCAUUACCAAAUUUGCACUAGUGAAAAUUUUAAAUUAUUAAACCCAUUGCGAGCUUUAAAUAUUAUGAAACCCUCCUGCAAUCCGCUGUGAGUUUUUUAUGAGUUCUUACAUUUAAGCUCACAAAUAUUGAAAAAAUACUUUCAAUAAUAAAUAAAAAUUUAAAUUAUAUACUUCAAACUAUAAAUUUAUAAUAAUAGCUUAAAAAAUCCACAUAAAAUACUCAGUUUUAGAUUUUAUCAAUAUAAACGAAAAUUAAAGUUUCAACAUUAAAACAAAUGCACAAAAUAUAUCAAGAUAAUACAAAAUAUUUCGAUUGUAGGCAAAAUUAUUAUCAGUAAGAUUAAUGCAUUGCUCCAUCUUUUUUUUUUUCAACAUGUAUUGUCAACAAUAUUAACGAGUAAAUAUUAGACAACUACCAUUAGCAAUUUUUUUAAAUGAAUAAAAACCCACAUUUAGUAAGCAAUCAUUAGGUUCAAGUUAUUAAGGUUGAACGAGCAAAAUCAACUAAAUUAAAAUAAUAUAUUAUUAAUAUUAAAUUUGAAAAUCAUAAAAUUUCGACUUAUUAAAUUUAUUUUAUCUAUCUUAAUGUGUGCCCCUGUGUGUGUUUAUGUGUUUUUUUGGGGGAGGGGGGGUUAGCGCAUACGGCUACACUGAACGAGGUGAGGUUUAAGAAUGAGGAAGACUAUGUCGUGAAUAAUAACUUUAGCACAUAUGUUUAAUAUUUUUUUUAUGUAACUUUUAUGAUUAAAAUUCAAAACCUAAAUAAUUAAAAAAAUAAAAUGCGGGGGUCGAUGGAUGCCCACAUAGAUAUCCUUGAAUUUUUUUUUAUUAAAUAUCAUGUGAUUCAUAAUGCAUUUAAAUUUAAAAUACCAAACCUACAUGCAAUUUACAAAAUUACUUAUAAAAAGACGGAUUUUUAUGAGUGGGUUUUAGCAAAUUUGUAGAUUUGGGAAUAAUUUGCCCAUUCUUAGUUGGAACGGUAAAGUUCGACAAAAAGGUUGCUGUUGGGACCCGGACAUGUUCAAGAUUAUGAUAUAAAGAAGGUAAAAGGGAAAUAAAAGAAAUAAAAUCUUAUUGAAGUUUAAUAAUUUGACGAUUGCUCAGGCUGUGUUGUCAGCACGUGUGUAAAUUGAAUAAUUAAGUCAAAAUAACAAAAAAAAAACAUGAACCCACAGCAAAGUGACUCAAUCUCUGAGGCGGUUAAUUAAUUUUAAGGAUGCAGUUUUCCUUUUAAACAUCCGUUUCAUGCACUAUUGACAUGCUCCAAGCUCACGUAAGCUUGGCUUUGUUGAUCACAGUUUCACAGCUCAGCCACUCAUUUAAAAAUCGACAUCAGCUCAUGCUCCAACGUGGGAGAAAGAAACGCAAUUGAUUGCCUUCAAUAAUUGAGGUCACAUCAUGGUUUACCAUCGUGGCACAGUCGACACCGUUGAUUUAAACUGACCUCGUAAUCUUGACCGUCAACAAUGGCAAAGUACAGUUAAAUUUUUUUUAAUUCUUAAUCAAUUGACACGUAGCACGUGCGAUUAAUUAUAGCUGCUGUGCUGUUGGACUGAGGAGAAUCGCACGUACACCGGGCAGCGUUUGGAGGAGCUGACCGGUUUAUUCGGUCAUGUGGCGUGGGCCAGAGAGGACAAGGACCUUGGGAAAAGAGCCAGCAAGAUUAUGCGUCAGGUGGGUCCCAACAUUGAAUGGCCUGUGUCUGCUAUUGUGGGGUCCGUGGGUCCUACGUCUAAUCAGCUCCAAGUUUGGUGCUUUUAACUUUUUAUUUUUUUAUUUUUGAGGGCGUGCGGGGCCCACUGCUUACUCAACUCCUAGUUGGAGAAAGUAACGACAAGUGUGGUCCUUGGACUCUAGAGAGAUCAUGAAGGGUCCGCUUGUAAUAAUUAAUUCAGUGGCCUACCGGUCUUUUAACGUCAGUCCCCAAGGUUUCGACAUUUUAACUUUUCCCCAUACUUCCAUAUUUUCAUGCUAACACCCUCAUUAAAUUCAUAUAUUGAUUUUCACCCCCAAUAAUUCGCAUUCAUGUGCUACUCUUUUAUAUACCUUUUACCUCAUUCAAAGAUAUUCUUAUUUAAGGACUAGUUAAUAGUCAUAAUAAGAACUUAGAUAGUUAAGUGUGACUUUUUUUCAUCAUUAUUAUCGGACAUUAAAGUUAAAGCCCCUGACAUGUUUAUAAUGUUGUUAAAAUUAUAAUUUUAUUCUAAUAAAAUGGCUACUCUUUUAUCUAUGGUAUUUCUUUAGAAACAUUGUUUAUGUAAAAUUAUUUUGUUUGAUAGACUUUAUUUAUCAGUUGAUUGAUGUUACUUCUAAUUGAAGUAAUUUCAAAAUAUAUUAUAGUUCGUUAACUUUUAAGUUCACAUAUGUCAUAUUCCCAAAAUAUUUAAUCUAACCAUAAUAAUGUAUUGCUCAUGUGUAAAUUAUAUUAUAACACAAAUAUGAUUCUAACUUUCAAGUUCACAUAUGUCAUAUUCCCAAAAGAUUUAAUCUAACCAGAAUAAUGUAUUGCUCAUGUGUAAAUUGUAACACAAAUAUGAUUCUAACACAUUGAUAUUUUAAUAUAUUGCAUCAUCAAAAAAAAUUAUUUAAAUUUUUAGGUGGUUUGAACAUUAUUUUUUCAGUAUAAUUUAUUUAUUAGUUAAUUUUCUUAUGUCAUUAUAAAAUAUAUUAUACAUUGGAGCAUUUUCAACUUAUAGCAUUCAUGGAUCAUGUUACCACUUUUCUACCAAUUUAACGUUUUUAUUUUAAAGAACCAAGUUUGAAGAAUUUUGAACUCAUUUUGCAGCUACUAGUCUAAUACUAGCACUAGCAGUAGAGGAAAGAAAAGUUGAACAAUUUUCCUUUCUUUAAAGUGACUGUCUAGGUGGGGAGAACAGAAUCUCGAGUACCCAAAAACAACGAAGAAGAAGUACACAAGGCGACUAACCGAGGGGCCAAAAUGCCAAAAGUAAUAAUAUAUAUGUUGCCAAAGCAAGAAAAAUUAUUAAUUCUUCAUUUUAAUGAAAGCGAUGCAUCAUAAAUGCUGUGGACCAAUAGAUUGAACCGCCCGGAUUUAUGAUAAUCGCCGCUGGUUUUAAAUAAGCCAUCGGUCGCAUAACCUUUUGCAUCAUCCAGUGACCAAUCAUAUUCAGUCACGUGGAAAAAUAAUACCCUUGCCGGGUCGAGCAUCUCAUUAUUAGAGUAGUCGCUAGUGCACUCGAUUCUCUCAAGUCAACUUCUAUUUCAAGGCCACGAGGCUAUAAAAACAGCUUCCCACCCACCUUCCCACCUCCCCCUAAAACCUGUUCAGUCUUCUUCUAUUAGCAGCUCUUACGGCGCAUCAGACCAACCGGAAUCCGCUUCCGCGAGCCAAAUCGUAUUCACAUCCACGAUGUCUUACUAUUACGCCGGAUGCGCAGAUUACCAGGAGCCCCACUUCCUUGAUUCUUGCUUUCUGUGCCGCAAGCCCCUUGGCUAUAAUUCAGACAUCUUCAUGUACAGGUUAGAAUUUACAUACAAUACGAUCAUCUCGAUUUAGUCCAAUUUUUAAUGAUAAUGAUUCAUAUGAAAUCGAAGAUACCCAGAUGUGAAUUUGCGAUUCAUAUGAAAUCAUACUAAUUUUUUUAAGAAUUAAUAUCGUCACGUUUGCUGCAAUCGAGAUAUAUCUCAAUUUGCAUAGAAUCAUAUAAUAAAUCGAUGAUAUUCAAGAUUUUCAUUCUAGUCUAAAGAAAUUGUUUAUUCGUUUUGAUUGGCUCAGUCUGAUUACUAAAAUACGAAAUUUUGAUGAAUUUUUUGCAGAGGAAACACACCGUUUUGUAGCAAGGAGUGCAGGCAAGAACAGAUAGAGAUGGAUGAAGCCAAAGAGAGGAGCUGGAAGAAGUCAUCUUCUUCUUCAGCUAGAAAAUCAGAAUCAAACAACUCAACACCCAGCAAAACUGUACGGACGGGUACAGUUGCUGUGGCCUGAUAAACUGAUGGGUACUGAACCCCAAUUGAAAAAGCACUAUGUUUUCGGAUUUUGUUAUUUAAAGAAAAAAAAAAAAGAGAGAGAGAGAGAAUUGAAGGAAAUGGAAAAAAAAAGAGAGAGAGAGAGAAUUGAAGGAAAUGGAAAUCCCACAUAAUAUGGUCAAGGAUUUGAUCUGUAAAGGCACGAAUGGUGGGAGAGAGAGAGAGAGCGAGAAGGAGAAAAUGAGAGCAAUCAGACACUUUUCUUUUUCUAUUUUGGGUUGAGUUUUUAUGAGGAUUAAGAGGAACCAGCAUCCUUUGAAUGGGAUGAUCUGUGUUAUUUUUGUAAUGACGUGAUGAUCUUCAUGUUAAUUUUCCCUGUUCGAAGCAUUUUGAAGCAGUCAAUUAUAAAAUCAAAGACUUUGCUCACUUCUUUACGUAUCCUAGUUUAAGAAAAUUAAAAGAAGGCUCUAGCUUGUAUCCUUGUUCCCCCAGUAUGCCCUAUCAUUUUUUUUUUUCCCUCUUUCCCUUUUUUUUCCUUCUUUCCAGUUCAGAUGUGAUUAUGGGUUGUUUCUUAACUUCUCUAUCGUUUUGUUGAAAAUCAGAAAAGCGCUAACACAUAAGUCCAUAUUAUUUCAUUCUUUCUGAGUCUGUUGAUUCAGUUUGACCGUUAAAAUAAAAUAACAUCACAUUUGAGCAUUGAUGACGUAUAUUCAAAUCAAUACGUUUUCUUAUUAAUUUAACAUUAUGUAUUUUCUACUUAUCAUAAUUUAUGUGAAUGUGAAUUUAUUUUCAUCUUAUUUGUAGUUAAAUGUUUCAUUUUUUUUUUUUGGUUACAUAAUAUUUAUUUAAUAUCCACGAUGAUAACAAACAAUAGAGUAAAGCUAAUAUAGGAAAAGAAAAUACUUUGAAUCUCAUUAGUUUUCAGAGGUGAAAAAUUAUUAGUGUGAGAUCAAGCUUAAAACAGUGAAGGACACGUUAGUUAAGUAAAGAUUUAAAUGUGAAGAAGACUAAUUUAGGUAAUGUUUUAUCUUCAUAAUCUUUGUAAAGCUAAUUUGUCGGAUUUAUGCAUGUUCAAGUACUUAAUAGCUCAAAACCUAGUCAUGGCAUUCAAAUUUACAUUCGGUCCCGUGAAAUAUGUUUUCUAUACUUGAAGAAAAAUAGGAGUUAAAUGUUUUAUCAAAAUGAAUAAGAACGUGGACCAAAAUAUAAAACUCUCAAAGUUGGCAUGAAUGUAAGCGAUAGACCGAUUUAGGAAAUUGGCGAACCGGUUUGUUAUAAAUAAAUUGUUCAGAGAGCAAUCAGCGAAUUGGUUUGCCUUAAGCGGCAUAUAGGUUUGUUUGAAAUCCUUCAAUGAUAAUUAUACGGGAAACCUAUUUGUCGGUUUGAUAAAAUUGAUUCACCGCUUUCCUAAUGUGGCGUAGGCCCUGAAAGUAUUGCAAAGGUAAAUGGCCGAUGCCCUAACCAUUGGCAAGAGCCUAGAUCAGCUGCCUACGGCUCUCUUGUGAGAAGUGUGUUCUUUGCAAAAUUCAUCUUAAUAUUUCGAUUGAGUGAUUGUAAGUGUGGAUAACACUUGGGUAAAGAGGUGUGGGAUGUAUACCUCGAAUUUGUAAAAAUUUAUUAAUAUAUUUGAAGUUAAUUAUACUUGUUUUUUGAGCCUUAAAUAUAAGGCUUGGUGUUAGUGAAAUCCUCAACAUUGGAUUGUUUGAGACAUGGAUAUAAUGGAUUUUGUCGAACCACGUAAAAAUUAUAGUAUUUGUUUUCUCAACCCCUGUCUCUUUAAUUUACUUGUUGUAUUUGUUAUUAUUGGAUUAUGGUAGCUGGUAUUGUGGAUUAUGGUUCUUAUUAUUGGAGAAAUUUUUAAAACCGCAAUUCACCUCUCUUGAGUUGUUUAGUUAGAAUUUCAAAACAUGUAAAUAAAUAUUUCAAUUUUACCAAUAAUAUUAAUUUUGAAUAUUCAGAAGUCACUUUGAUAGAGCAAGAAUUCUCUUAUGUUUUGGUUGAUUUUCUUUAUUUUUAAAGAAAAUGGUUAAACUUGACUGACAUUCUAUAGUAAAUCGACAUUUGUUACUCCACCGUUAUAAUUUAAAGACAUUAGUUCACCCUUAUAUUGUUAAGAUAUUUUGUUAACUUAAUCGACAUAAGGGAGAAAAAGUAAAAAUCUAAAUAAAUAUCCUAUUUGAUCUCGAAAUAAGAUUACUUGCACUCAUUAAAAUACCAUAAACAUUAUUUUUUAAUAAAAAAAAAUUAUUACUAAAAUGUCCACAUAAUGAUUUAGCAUUAGGGACAAGAUGAUAGGGUUAAAUAUAAUAAUUUUACUCCUUACAAACAUCUUCAAUCCAUCCAAUUUUAAUUAUAGAUUUUUUCUUGGGUUAUUAUGCGGGGAAAAAAUCUAGAUUCUUGGACGAAUUGCAAUCCAAAUUUUAUUAUUAUUUAUUUAAAUUUAUUUCAUUCUGCGUUUUAAUACAGGAAUUUAUAAUUACCCUUCGCUAAGAUCAUGAGAAUUUUAAUUGGCCUUCAUUGAGAAUUCUCUCCGUAUCUCUUCUUCGAUAAUUUGGCUGAUAGAAUUCGCUAAAUAUGAAAUGAAUACAGGUGAGAUUGCAAAAAGUUUUAAUCAAUUUAUUUAGUGAAAAAUUAAGAAUUGAUUUUCAUAAGGGUAUAUUUGAUAUUUAGAUGGCGUAUAGAGUAAAACUAGUACUUUCGGAUUUUAAUAAAGAUAAAUUUCAGAAUACUCUCUUCAUUAUUUUCAAAUUACUCUUUGUUUUUAAAAAAUCUCAAGUUACACUAAUAUUUGUUCAAAAAAUAAGGUAAAAUGGGAUGGAUGAUGAAACUUUUUUUUUGUCUUCUUAAUAAAAAGAAGAGUAAAUUGAGGUUUUCUAAAAUAAAGGGGGUGAUUUGAAGAUAACUAUUUCAGGAGGGGUAAUCCGAUAUUAACUCUUUUGAUAAUGAGUUUAAUUGGUUGGUGUAAAUUAAACAGUACAUAAACAUUAAACACAUGGUUUCUGACUUGCAUAUUAUUUGCAGCUUAGGGAAAUGGUUUUAUUUAAUGAUUUAUUUUUUUUUCUUUUGCCAAUGAAGAAAACUUUUGUUGAAAGAACUAGAGAUAACAAACGUAUAGAGAAUUCCUCAGACCGGAUAAUUUUUUUCCAUUUGUUUCUGGAAUGGCAGAAUUCCAGCGACCCAUCGAGUUGGAUUGGGGCCAAAAGACGGAGACAUUUAAUCAGUCAGGUCGGGGCAUGUCCAGGACCCAAAUCUGAAUAGGGUGGGGCUCCAGGAUUGGAUUUUUAUUUUUUGAUGACAUGACCCGUUUUGAUGCUAUUUUAACAUUGUGUAAAUUGACGGAGAUAGAUUUCCGAACAUGCUUGUGAAUGCUGGACAUUCUCCAUUCACACCAUUUUUGCAGCCCCUUGUUCGAUUUGCUGAUGAAAAAAAAGCUAAUUUUAUGUUUAUUUUAUUGGAGAAUCUAAAUGUACCCUUUUAAUUUCUAAAUACACAUUUAUAAAUUAGUCGGGUUAGAGAUGUCACUCACAACUCAUCGAGAAAUAAAUAAAUAAAUAAACGAUGCUACGACGGACGUGUACUUCCUCAACUCCGCUAUCCCGCCGCUCUGUGUGAGAGAUAAGACAAUCUAAAACCAAUCGCCGGAAAAACCAAAAACUUCGGAUGUGCGCUAACGUGCGCCAAUUGCGGAGUACUCUCAAGGUACAUCACUCAUAUUCUCUUCUUUCUUUACUGAAGCUUCACACUUUGAGCUGUCCACAAACCCAAAAUCUCACCACUCCACCUCAUUUCUCUUCUUCAAAUUGUGAUUAUUUGAAUCAGUUUGUACCUUUCUCCAUUCCAAACUCAAACUCGUUAACACACAUAAAUUCAUAUGAGCGGCGAAAAAUCGUUGUGGGGCUAUCGAAGAUGGUCAAAAACGAAAAGGGAUAUAUACUAAAAGCCUUUUCACAAAAAUUCUGCCCAUACUUCUUAGUGAAGGUAAUGAAACUAUUAGAAACUCGUGAAACAGCAUUUGCAUUCUUCAAGUUGGUGGUUUGCGAUGAUUCCGAGUCCACAAUUAGGUCUUGUUGCAUUGCCGCUCAUAUUUUUGCGGCUGAAGAUUUACGGCUUCUUGCACAAGAUGUGGUUACUUGGGUUAUUAGCAGAAUUGGAGCAGGUAGGAGUAAACAUAUGGUGGAGUUUAUGUGUGAUGAUUUUCAUCUAUUUGGCUCAGAUUUUCGGGUACUCGAUGCUCUUUUGCACGGCUAUUUGCGGGUGGAAAUGAGUGCUGAGGUGAUGGAGAUUUUAUAUAGAAUGAGGGAGGUGGGCAUCAUGCCGAGUGAGUCUGCAAUUACUAUUCUGUUUAAGUCGUUACUUAGAGUUGGUGAUUAUGGUAGUGUGUGGAAGUUGUUUAGAGAUAUGAUUCAUUUAGGGCCUAGACCUUCUAAUUAUACUUUUAAUGCAUUGAUUCUUGGGUUUUGUAGAAAUGGUUGUAUUAGAAUUGGUGAGAGUUUGCUUCAUGUGAUGCAUAAGUACAUGUGUGUUGCUGACUUUUUUGCCUAUAACAUUUUGAUCAAUGCUUAUUGCAUCAGAGGGCGGACAUCAUAUGCACUGUAUUGGAUGCAUUUGAUGAUUGAAAGGGGCUGCAAACCAAGCACUGCUACAUUUAGUACUGUUAUUGAUGCCUUGUGCAAAGAGGGAAAUGUGGUGCAGGCCAGGAUGAUUUUUGAUAUGAUUCAAGAGGAGGGUCUUUCUCCAAAUGUGGUAGUUUAUAAUGCCCUACUAAAUGGAUAUGUUAAAGCUAGGGACAUUGAUCAAGCAAACAUGCUAUAUGAAGAAAUGAGGAGCAGAGAUAUAGCUCCUGAUGCUGUAACUUUUAAUAUUAUAGUUUCAGGGCAUUGCAAGUAUGGUGGAAUGGAGGAUGGGGAUAGGUUGUUAAGGGAUUUGUCGGUGUCGGGGUUGCUUCCCAAUUGUACGUUGUAUGAUAUUACAGUUGCAGGAUUAUGUUGGGCAGGUCGGUUGGAUGAGGCCAUGGAAUUUUUUGAGGAUAUGUUUGAGAAAGGAAUAUCCCCAAGUAUUUUUGCGUUUAAUUCUAUUAUCGCAGCUUAUAGCAGGGCAGGGUUAGAAGAAAAUGCCUUUGAAGCAUAUAAAAUUAUGCAUCAAUUUGGUCUGACUCCUUCAUCCUGCACGUGUAGUUCUCUGCUUGUGGGUUUGUGCAAAAAGGGGAGGCUGCCGGAAGCCUGGGAUCUUUUGUGUAAGAUGAUAGAGAAGGGUUUUCCCAUCAAUAAAGUAGCUUUUACCGUACUUUUGGAUGGGUACUUCAGGAUAGGGGAUCUGAUAGGAGCUCAGAGUCUGUGGAAUGAGUUGAAUAGGAGAAAAAUAUUUCCUGAUGCUGUUGCCUUCUCAGCCUAUAUCAACGGACUUUCUAAGGCAGGUCUGGUGGACGAGGCCUAUGGCGUGUUUUUAGAAAUGUCAAGGAUAGGGUUUGUACCAAAUAAUUUUGCAUAUAACUCUUUAAUUGCUGGGUUUUGUAACCGUGGGAAGCUAAAUGAAGCAUUGAAAUUGGAGAGAGAAAUGAGGCAAAAGGGUCUCCUUCCAGAUAACUUUACCUUUAAUAUUAUCAUCAACGGCUUUUGCAAACAAGGCAGAAUGAAGCCAGCAAUUGAUGCCUUUAUGGACAUGUAUCGAACUGGGUUAGUCCCCGAUAUUGUCACAUACAACACUUUGAUUGGUGGGUAUUGUAAAGCACUUGACAUUGUUAGAGCAGAUGAGUUGGUGAAUAAAAUGUAUGCUGGCGGGUUGGACCCCGAUAUCACAACCUAUAACAUACGGAUGCAUGGUUACUGCAAUAUUCGAAAAAUGAAUCAAGCUGCAAUGAUGCUGGAUGAGCUUGUUUCAGCGGGUAUAGUUCCAAAUACGGUAACAUACAACACACUGAUGAAUGGUGUUUGCUGUGACAUACUGGAUCGUGCUAUAAUAAUAGCUGCAAAAUUGCUUAAGAUGGCCUUUGUUCCAAAUGUCGUUACUACUAACGUAUUACUGUCUCACUUUUGCAAGCAGGGGAUGCCUGAGAAGACUCUAUUGUGGGGUCAGAAGCUGAGUGAAAUUUCCUUUGAUUUUGAUGAGACUUCCUAUAAGAUAAUGGACAGAGCCUACCAUAAUAUACAAGAAAAUGCUGAGUUUUUUCAAGAAACAUCUGAAAAGAGCCUUUUUUUGGAUUUCCUCAUGUACAUUACAUAUGAUUACUUCUGGAGAAACAGACCCAACUAUAAAACCAGCCAGGCUUCCCUUAAAUUAAUUGAGCAUUGUUCUGCUGGAUCCUGAAAUAACCUCACAGAACAUGAUUUCAGAAGUGUGUUCAACUUGUCUUGCUGAAUCAUUUACUGUCAUUAGGGGGUGUAUGACACUCAACGUUACCGGGGAUUUUUGUGUUCAGUCGAUGAAAUUACAAACAGCGGCAAUUGGAAGAAGAGGCAGGAAAGUUCGUUGACACACUGCAGUGGAGAUUGGUUCCUUUACUUGAAAUGAAAGACAAAUUGAAAAUAUGAGAGGACAAAUGAAAGAAAGUGCCAGGUAAGGUAGAGGGCAUGAGUGUAGCUCCUAAGGAGAGAUUUUAUUGGACCGCUCUUUAAUAGUAUGUGUGUCACCUUCAUUGAAAAUGUAAAGCUGCUGACAUUAUUAGAUUCGGCACAAGUUACCUCUCCAGCAAAUCAAGUAAUGAGUUAUUGUUUAUGAAGUAAAUUUCCUCUAUGUUCUGCAAUUUAUUAUAGGAAAUAUAUUUGGAUAGAUGAAAGAUCCUAACUGCUCUGGGCUUUUAACAGGUGAAGUGGAUGAAGUCUUAUGCAGGACUUGCAGUAUAGCAUGAUCUAAUGUUUCAUUUAUGAAAUCUGGCGGCUUUCUAUUAACUUACUAUGAAAGCAUAUUACACAGACAGGUCAGUAAUGCAUGGUUGCUUCUCCUUUUGUUAUUGCUGUCACCCAAAACUGUUCUGUAACAAGAGCAUAACAAACACCAUAUACCUUCAAAAUGUAUAUGAAGUAAUCAAAAUUGAUGAUUGACAACGAGACACUGUUUUGUUGCAGGCUGCAGUAUGGCCUUUGCCAGUGAAGAAGGUGGAUCAGCCAGACUGAGGGCUUAAACUCUGCAGGUUUGUCAUAGAAAUUGAGUCCACUGCACCAGUGUGCAUAUAGGCUUCAUUCUAUUUGGGUCAUGGGUUGUUUUAGAAGGCAGCAUUUGCCCAUUGCAGCCAAGGUUGAAGGGAACCAUGCGGAAGCCAAAUGAAGUCGGAUGCUCUUCUUGACUUGUUAAUUAUUUGUUAGAAGGAUGAGUUAGGGAAAUGCUGCAUAGUUUCAGUACUUAAGGUUGAAUCAAAAUCACAGAAUAAAAACUUUCUCCUUGCUUUUUGGGCUUAAUUGGACAAUGAUUUAAAUGGAAAUAGUCAUUCCAAGUUAGCGGAAUGAAACUCGCAAGGGUCGUUUUCAUUGCUCUCUUUGUUGUUGCACAACUAAACUGCUUAUCUAAUGGCAUUAUUUACUCUAAUACUUCUAAAAAGGAAGCUGCUUCCACAUUUAAAAAAAAUGAAGAAAUGAAGAAACUCCUCUGUUACGUCAGGACAGGAAAAUAUUAGCACGACCAUUUAGUAAGCUGGCCCCAAACACAAAGGUCCCAAAUGUUGAAACAACCAGUACAUUCAGUUUCCGAGAAAUUCUUACAUUUCCAUUAAACAAUUAGAAAACUUGGGCAAGGGCUGUGGGGGGUGGGGUUGUGUGUGUUGUGGAAGGAAGAAUAUAAACCUUCGAAGAACUUUGGCCAGUUACAAAACAUAACUUAUUGCAUCAUAAAUUUACUUCAAGUUCUCCUCCUCUAGAGGAUUUGAAUUCGUGAAAAAAAAAAAAGUUAUCGGGACGAACUUGACACUUGACACUCCAUCGCAUUGAGUUUGCAGGAGUGGUACCUACGGGUGAUGAUGCUGAUUAUUGGGUAACCAUAAGCCUAAGAAAUAAGAUUACUUGCUCGAGUCUUGGGCGAUUUAUAAGUUAAUUUUUGGGAUAAUUAUGUUUACAGUGGGGAUAAUUUUGUAAAGAAAAAUUAAUAAUGAACUAAUUUUAUAAAUUGUUUUUGCAGUGGGGGCAGAUUAGUAUUUUCUUCAACUCUUUUAUUAUAGUGUUGCCCUUUAAUUUCCUGGAUCUGCACCGGCGUGUCCCAAUUUUUCAGCUAAAUUUUCAGCCGACUUCCUUAAAACUCUAUGCAAAAUACAUUCAUUUACUAAUAUGAAAUUGUUGAGGAUGCAAAACUAUUGACUGCUCUUUUCCAGGUAUGUUUUCAUAUUUCCUUCGCGCCAGCCAGAGGCAUGAUAUUAUUAUUAUUGUCUACAGCUUUCUCUCUCUCUCUUUUUUCAUUUUUUUCGAUAUGAUAUUUGAACAUAAAUAAGUUCUUACAUCUCCAUUAAACAUAUUACGAACGAAACUUAGGGAAGCGCCAAUAGGAGAGCCAGCAAAAAAAAAAUAAAAUGAAAAGAACUGUCAAACCACUUUGGCUCUCUGCAUAAUCAACAAUCUUCUUCUACUAGCUCCUUCUACAUGCUCACCAAGUUUAGCUAAAUGUGCCAUUCGUCUUUUCCAUGCCUCAGAAGGUUCAUGUUGCUUCUGCUUCGUUUGUGCCUCAACCGGGUCCUCUUCACAGAUCUCUUCAAAAGUUUUAUCAAAGGAGUCUCCUUCAUUUGAAACUUGCACUAUCUGCUUCAAUCUCUCCACCACCUGACUCAUCUUUGGCCGAUCCUUGGAACUCUUUGACAAGCAAUUGUCUGCUAACCUGCCAAUUUUUCGAGCCUCAUUGAUCGAGUACUCUUUCUCAAGUCGAGGGUCCAUUAUCAAGCCAAACUUUUUACUAUCAGAGGGAUACUGCUGCACCCAUUCCAAAAGUCUCUGCUCUGUUUUUGGGCGGUUUCUUUCCAAUGACCGCCUGCCAGUAAGCAUCUCAUACAAUACUACACCAAAGCUCCAUACAUCACUUUUGGCUGUGAGAUGACCUGUCUCUAUGUAAUCUGGAGCAGCGUAUCCGAAUGUUCCCACCACCUGAUCACAGAAAAUUAGAAAUGUUAGUUCAUGAGCACAAUAAAAUCAGUCUCUUACUUAUUUCAGAUUAACCAGUUUUGCUACUUGUAAGAAAUAAUCUGUAAAGUCAUUUAUGAGCCACAAACAACAUUGAUCAACUCAAAUUUCUACUUUAAGUUGUUCUGUCUGAAAACUUUGACACAAGUGCAUGCUUUCAACUUGAUUUUGUGUUGAAUUUUACAGAAGUCCAGUGCUCAAAAUAUGAUUCGAGAGGAUCGUUAAUGAGAAUAUUGGCAAAAAGGAGUUACUUACUGCUGUCGACACGUGUGUAUGGCCAACCAUUGGCCCUUCCCUUGCAAGUCCAAAGUCUGAAAGUUUUGGCCUAAAAUUCUCAUCCAAUAAAACAUUGGAGGCUUUGAAAUCACGAUAUAUCACCUUCACCAUUACCAUAACAAAUCAUUAGAUAGCAAGAAACACUAAGAAGUUGAUUAGAUCAUGAACAUAACCUGGGGAAAGAAGGUAAAAAUGUGGCACAAUUACAAUGAAACUGAACUAACCUGAACUUCCAAUCCUUCAUGUAGGUAAGCCAAUCCUUCAGCUGCCCCAAGUAUUAUAUGUAAUCUUGUUUUCCAAGGAAGGGGUGGAAAUGCCCUGUUAAAAAGAUGAUCUUCCAAGCUCCUAUUCAGCAUAAACUCAUAUACAAGUAGUCGCUGGAUCCCUCUUUCUCCAUCUACAGCACAGUAUCCUAUCAGUUUGACAAGAUUUGGGUGUUCCAGAACACCAAGAAAUUGGACCUCUGCUACCCACUGUUUGUGACCCUAUUUGAGUUGCAAAGUAUUAGGGCAAGUAAAUAUCAUGUACUGGAAAAUACAAAUCUAACAACAAAGAACCCAAUUGGUGAUCUUUCGGGGUUAAAGAAAAGCCCUGAAUGAGCUAAUACAUAGGGAUUUAAUACGCUAACCAGAAUAUAUAUAUAUAUAUAUAUAUAUAUAUAUAUGGCUUGGGCAUCUUUGAUUUGCAUUUGCAUAUGGCCUAUGAGCAUAUGUUUGGUUCAAAAUGUAUAGCUAAAGCCAAAGGUUAGCAAUCUGAGUACAAAUGAGUGCCGAAGAUAAUGAUUGAAAUGCAAGACUAGGUUCGUGUGAAGUAAGAAAUCAGAAGCAAGAAAAAAGGCAUUCAUAAGCAAAAAUUUGAACAGAAACUACAAUCACAUCGGAGUUCUGACCAAAUACAUACAUACAUACUUCAAGCAUUCAAAUAUAAUAUUUUUAUUAGAAAAUGGAUCGCCAAACAAAUCAAAAAAUUAAAAAAGAAGAAGAAUAUUGAGAUAAUAAUUAAUUUAAUUUCAUACCUGCAAGCCGUCCCUGUUAAGCUUUUUGAUAGCAACUACAGUAGCCUCACUUGUCCCAUCACCUGCAGCAGGCUUAAUUGAACCUUUAUACACACUCCCAAAUCCACCUUCACCAAUCUUAAGCAUCCUGCUGAAAUCAUUUGUGGCUUGUCUCAUCUCAGAAUAUGAAAACACUCUCAAAUUAUGAGCUUUCUCUUCGUAUAACUCAGGAAUCCCACGCGGGGAAGUCACUGACGCUGAGCAUGAAGAUUUAACAAAACGAUCACUCUCUGCCCCAGAAUAAUCUUCAGACUUUCUUGGCUCUUUCAACUCUGGAGCUGAUCUUUCUUCCCUUCUUCUCAAUUUCUUCUCCUUGAAAUAGUGAAAGCACUUCAUCUUAUACAACUCAAAAAACAAAACAAGCAAUCAACGAAAAGCUAGUAACCUAUUUGCCGCAAAAAUCAACAAGAGCACAACAAGAAGAAAAUUUACCAGAGUAUUAUAUAUUUUUUAUUUUGCACAAAAUAUUAGAGGAAGAAGAAUAUACACCUUUCGCUGACCCUGCCGUGCCCGUUUACGAUUUUGUAAUAUUUGGUGCUUUGAAUUUGGAGAAUAAAAAAUUUAAUUCUGACUAGUCAUUUUUUUCAGCCGACGAUCAAACAAGAGACUGUUUUGAUUAUGACUUCACUUGGUUAACGGGCCCGCUCGGUUGCACAGAUUUAUCAAAUCUCUACGCGACCCAUUACGAAAAAGACAAAAGUUAUCAUCACUUCUACACACCUUGACCUUCAGUUUCAAGUUUCAACCAAAUCUAAAUCUAACGUCGAAGAAAGGAGCUGUUCCGGUGCGCCGGUGUGGAUCUGCUCAGAAUCCUAAAUUAAAUUCAUUAAUAAGAAAUUUAUGGUUAACCACAUUUGAUUAAUUUCAAUAACUUUUAGGAUCUUAUAAUCGUAAAUCCCAAAUCCCACCGAGAUUUUCAUGAACGGAAAAAGUAUUUUCAAAGUUGAAAUCACAACAAUCUAUUUUUAAUAAAAAUAAGAGAAAUGACGGUUACACCCUUCCUUCCGAGUUGCCGGCGGCCUUGCCCUUCGGACAAGUAAGCAGUUUACCUCUAUAUAAGUCGAUGUGUUUUGGCAAGGGAUAGGAAAAUUAUUUGUCAACCAGAGUUAAAAUUUUAAAAAUAUUAUAUUUUAGUUGGGACUUAUUAUAUAAUAUUUUUAAAACUUACCAUUUUCAUUGUUAAAUGAAACAGUAGGGACUGCUGAAGAAAAUGCCAAAGUGGGCGUGGGGUACGUCCAUCCGGGCAAGACAGUUUUGUCCUCUGUUCGGCGCGUGCGAGUAUUCUAUCAUUAUUAGCUUGACUGACUCUAUCCGACGAAUGAAACAUUGUACCCACGUGGACAUCGAUGUGGAUCAGAGUUGAGAAGUGGGACCUAUUUUUUUUAAAAAUACAGAGAGGUAAUAUAAUUAAUUUACUUAAAUUUGAUAAAAAAAUUAAUUAUUUAAUAAAUAAUAUAUUAUUUAGGAUAAUAUGUUAAUUUAUUUAGAUCUUAUAAAUAAUUAUUAACUAUAUAUAAUAAAUGAGAUAUUAUUUAUAAUAAAAUUUAGGAUAAAAAGUAUGAGAUAUUUACAUUACUCAACAUAUUAAGUAGUAGAGCUAUCAAAGUCAUCCUACAUGCGGCCCAUGUGAAAUAUCUUGGCUUCGUCUUACAAAGUUACAAAAGUAUCCCCUUUCAUAGAUUUCAAAAAUUCAGCAAUGUCAAUUUGGUCCUUUUUAAUGUAACUUUCUAUUUUUUAAGACGAACAAGAUGUCGUUGCGAUCACCUUGGCUUCUUCUUCUGAAGUCAAAAAAUUAUCUCCUCUACAGUGGUCAAUUUGGCCCUUUUCAAUGCAAUUUUAUUAAUUCUAGUUGUUUCUUCUGAAGUUAACUUGUUUGACUUUCUUACUUAAUAUAUUCACGCGAUUUUCUUAAUUUCUUGUGAAAUUGUGUUCUUGUCACCUUCUCCACCAAAUUUGUUUGACAAAAGUCAAACCCACUAAGUUUAAUAAAUUAAUUAAUUAAUAAAUGAAACACGGGAGAGGAUGGCAAACUAUCAGCUGUUAGAUGCAUUAAUUAGUCAAAACAAUGCUAGAACGUACACGUUCCUUAAAAACUUUUGGAAUGAGUCAACUACGGUUUAAUCACACCCCUGACCCGCAAAAUCUAUUUUUAUUAACAAAUAAGUCAUGGAAUCUUGUUCCCAAAGUUUCAGAUCGUUCCUUCCUUAGUUGCAUCGUCCUGCAUAUAAUAAUAUACCGUUAAACUAACUUACGGUAAGGGCGCGCUGGUGAUGCAUUCAUUCAUUACUUAGCUUCACAGUCACACGUCUGAUUCAACAAAUUAAUGAGACGUGAUUAUUUAUUAAGUUAUCUAUUUUAUUUUUUUUAUCUUUAAUGUAAUAGAAGUUCACGAGUUAGCAAUUAUUUGAGUUUCUGAAUUCAAAGUGAUGACUCAUUGGUUCGUAUUGUUCAAAUAGAUACUUACGUACGGUGACUUAUCAUCUUGUAACGUUUGUGUGGUUAAGUUUAUAGUUUCAAUAUCAUUAACGAGUGUUACGGGAUCCCACUAUAGCUAAAGAUAAUGAAAAAAGAGUUCAUGAUUUGGUCACUUGAUUUUACCUAUUGCAUGUAUUAUAUCAUUGGCAUGGACAAAUUGUAUUAUAUAGGUAUAUAUAUACAAUGCUCCUCAAAUCGAGCUUGCCGUUGCUGUCCAACGCCACAGAUUCAUUCAGUUGCACUCGUAGAUUUGCGUGUUUCAGAAGGUUUAAGAUACAAGGCCGAAGCCCGAAGCCCGAAGCCCAAAGGUGGGGAUUGGCAUCCACUAAUUACUUCCAAUAGCGCCUUUGAAAAGCCCAGCUCAUUGAAACAUGUUAUUAGGGGACCUUUGACAGCCCACAUAAUACGGUUUUAAGUUAUUGCUGACCCAUGUUUAAUAAUUUCGGAACUUAUAUAAUUAUAUCGUGGUGGUGUAUUUCGAAUUUAAUAUUUUACUGUAUUAUAAUAUAAUUUAUAUCGUAUUCUACUUUUUUAUUUUUAUAUUUGUAAUAUUAUGAUAAUUAACAUAUAACAAUAAAUUUAUAUUAUAUAUAUUUUUAAUUAUUUUUUUGUAGUUUUUAUUAUAAGAUUUGAGGAGUAUUGUAUAUAACAAUAUUAUUUAAUUAUAGUAAUUAUUAUAAAAAUAAUUACUUAAUAUAUUUAAAAAUAAAAUUUAAAUAAUUUUAAUUUAAUAUUAUAGUCACCACGAAUGAUUUGUGGCUAACACAAUAUAGUAUAAUAAAUGCACCAUUAAAAUAUUUAAGCGUUGUUUUGUUAACACCAAAAAAAAAAAAAAAUUCCCUAUCAAACCCUUCAUCUCGUAAGGUACCUAUUUUGAGAAUUGCAAUGCAAUACCUCUAGCCCCAGUCCCAACAUCUUUUUGUUUGCAAAAAUGAAAAAAAAAAAAAACACUAAAAUUUUCUAAGAUGCACACUUCUUUAUUUACUCCGGACUUUCUUAAUUCCAAAAUUGAUCCUUAAUUUAACUCAAUUGAUACAAUAAGAAACUCAUUAAAUACAAAAAAGAAAAUAAUACUUUAUUAUUAAAUUGUUAGAUAGUUAUUGCUUUAAUAACACCAAAAAUAUAUAUUUUAUAUGAUUAUUGACUAAAACUUGCUAUAUUAUCUAUUAUUUAACGAUGUUCGUUAAAAAGAUAUAAUACAAAGUUUGUAUGCUAACUAAUGUGUCGUUUUUUUUUUUUUGUAAGGCUUUGUGAUUAACAAAUAUUGAGUCAUAUUCCUUCUUAUCCAAAUAACGAAUUUAUGUUCGUGACACAUUAGUUGAGAUUUAGUCUUGUUAAUGCAUCACUAUUUAAAAUUUAUACUCACUACACAAUAUUGGAUUAAGCUUGGGGCACAUUUGGCGGCGGCAUAAAGUUAAGAGGAUUGAACUAUUUUUUAAAAAAAUAGUACAAUCAUUUAUUUGGUGUCACAAAGAUAAGUGAGGAUUCCCCUGGGAUCCUAGGGAUAAAUUUUUUCAUGUUUAAAAAUAAUUGUAGAAUAGCUAUACUAUAUAAUAGGGAUAUUGCCAAUUUCCCCCUUAUUGUAAUUAAUAUAUACCAUUUACUCCCUUAUUGUUUUUAUAAUAGUUAAUAACCCCCUCACAACAUUAUUUUACAAUAUUACCCCUAUUUUCAAAUACACUUUUAUUUAUAUUUAUUAUAAAUUAAAUAAAUCACACGAAUAGAAACUGAAUAAAAAAGUAUUAAAAAUAAGAAAUAUAUGAUUUGAUGUGAACAAAAAAUAAUUAAUAAUAAAAAUUUUUCUUGUACUUUUUUAUUUUGUAAACAUUUUUUCAUAUUAAAUUAAGAAAAUGCUUAUAAAAUAAAAAAUACAAGAAAAUAUUUUAAUAUUAAUUUUUUUGUUCACAUCAAAACAUAUAUUUCUUAUUUUUAAUACUUAAUUUUUUUUUCAUUUAUGUGAUUUAUUUAAUUUAUAAUAAAUAUAAAUAAGAGUGUAUUUGAAAAUAAUAGUAAUAUUCUAAACUUAUAUUGUUAGGGGUUAUUGGCUAUUAUAAAAACAUUAGGAGAGUAGAUGGUAUAUAUUAAUUACUGUAACGAGGAAAUUAACAAUCUCCCCUAUAUAACAUCUAUAAAUAUUAUUACAUUAUAUUGUCAUAUUGAUAUUUAAAUAUUUAUUUAGUUUAUUUUUUAUUUAAUCUUCUAGAAUACUGAACACAAGAUAAUACUAAAUAAAAUUCAUUCCAAUCUCAUUAUAUCCUACCAAUUAGGCAAUUACCAAAUACAACAUAAUACUCUACGUAAUCUAAUCAUAAAUUAUUCUUUCGUGUGUUAUUCCCAUCUCAUUCCAUUCAAUCCAGCAUGCAUCCUUAGAAUUUAAGUCGGCAAGUAAAAGGAGAGAGGAGCGUAGGCCGAAGAGCACUCGCAACGGGCGACCCAUUCGACUUUCGAUCCCCUAAAAAACCUACCUUUUGACCACCUUCUUGGUCGGUUUGUUAAAUUUAUUUUACCCUUCUCUCUCUUCGCUUCGCUUUCCGUCUCUCACCAAACAAAACGUUCUCAAAUUAUUAUUAUUAAUUAUUAUUGUCAUUAUUUUUUAAAAUUUUCAUCUUCUCUGUGUGUAUCCGACUACCGUCAUGACCACAAAUUAAAACCCUAAUUUUCUCUCUCUUCACUCCAUCACUCUCUCUCAUCUCAGGUUUUGCUUCUUUUCCACUCUCACUCCCAAACCCUAAUUAUACUCUAAUUAAAAUUAUUAUGUGUUUUUGAUUUUGUGGAUCUACUUUGUUUCUGUUUUUGGUUACAGAGACGAACGAUUAAAGCGAAAUUAAGGGGAAUAAUUCGACGAAGGAUAUAUGUCCUUCAAUCAAUCAAGGUCCGAUAGAAGCGAGACUCAGUAUCGAAAAUCAGGACGAUCCGCAGGCUCCAAUCAGCAGCGGACCUCCUCAGGCUCUUACGGUAAGGGCGCUGGCGGUGGCCCCGCCCCUUCACCGUCUGUUCACUCCUCUUCCUCUCUUCCUUCCUCCAAUCGCAGGUCACUCUCUAUUUCAUUUCUUUUUCUUUUGAUCCUUGAACUAAAGCUAGGGUUUUAAUUCUCUGUGUUUGCUUUAAUUUCAUUCAUAUUAGUCCUUUGAUUUUGAUUAUAUUAUUAGAAUGAGCGCUUAUUCUUUUUUUUUUUUUUUUAAUUGAUGAUAGUUUUAAGAAGUCUCACAAUGCACAAGGAGGCCAAUCUAGGGUGAAUGUACCCGCUGUUAAUUCUUCGGACUCUACUAACAAUGCUUCUGCUCACCGCAAUGUACAAAACGGUGCACAUUUACAGCCCCAGUUGCAUGGUGUGUGCACGCAUCUGCUAUUGUUUUUUAUUUUUUUAUUUUGUUGUUGGUUUUCUGUUUUUGAUUUUUUAUUUACUCUCAAAAUUGGAUCAUUUGUUGAGAAAAAUGUGAAUGGGAUUUUGAAUCUAUGUUUGUUCUAGGAGCAUCUGAUGCGCCAGUUGGUGCCAAUUCUUCCAAGCAAGUUGAUUCGUCCACCCCUCAGAGAAGCACCCGAGCUGUUCCAAAGGCUCCAACUUCUCAAUCAGCCUCCAUGAGUUCUGACAGUACUGCUUCUGCAACACAGGCUAAAGGUUUUUUCUCCUUGCAUGUGCUUGGUUUUAUAAAUGCUUCAAGUAAUCAUGAAUUUUACUGAAAAAAAAAAAUCAUGAAUAUCAAAAUGAGGGUGGUCUUUUGAUGUUUUGAUGUAAUAUAUGAUCUGAUUAGCAUUAUUUAUCAUCAAUUAUCCUGUUCUACUGUUUGAUACUUCUAGAUUGAUGUAACUACCUUUAUGCUUAUAAUGUUUUCUUUUGGUCUAGCUCCUGGAGAUGUGUCUAAGGCAUUCCAUUUUCAGUUUGGUUCGAUUGGGAUGCAGGUAUUCUUCUUCUAUUAUUUUUCCACUUUAUGCCAUCUAGAGAGUUAGUUUUUGAGUAUUUAUUGGUGUUAUAUAUUUAAAGUCUUGAUCUAAAAGACUGAAAGAUUAUUUUUCUAUAUUCCUUGUAGAUUCCAGCUCGAACUAGUUCUGCACCCCCUAAUUUGGAUGAGCAGAAACGUGACCAGGUCUGUUUAUAUUUUUCUCUAUCCUGGGGUCAUAUUAUUCAGCAGUAAACUAUAAAUGGUCGGAUUUAUUAUCUGAACCAAGAGUGCAGAAAAGUUUACUGUCUUCCUGGAUAGUAUGAACUGUAGAUUUUUACUCAUUUCCCUUUUCUUCCUUCCUAAGUAGUCUGAACCUAGAUUUCACAUUUUCUUUUCUUGUGUUGGGAUGGACUUUUCCCAACAACCAUAUGUUGAUACCUUAACUUUUAUAUGGUUUGGUUUUCUCAGUUUCAAUAUUCUUGACACUCUACUGUGGAAGCACAUUGGACUUAGUGUUUGAUGAUCAAAUUAUGAAGCUGUCUCGUUUAUUUUUUGGCUUGCAGGCACGCCAUGAUGCUUACAGGUCAGUGCCAAAUAUACCAAUGCCUUCUGUCCCAAAGCAGCAGCAGCCUAGGAAGGAGGCUGGUGUUACUGACCAAUCUAAUACUGUGGAGGUUCAUCAAGUACCAAAAGUCAAAAAGGAUCCUCAAGUCUCACUUCCACCCAUGGCAAGCCCAGCGCAAAAGCCGUCUGUUCUUCCCAUACCAAUGACUUCUAUGCAAAUGCCAUUUCACCAGCCACAAGUUUCUGUACAGUUUGGUGGGCAUAACCCACAAGUUCAGUCUCAGAAUGUAACGGCCACUUCACUCCCUAUGCCAAUGCCCAUUCCAUUACCAAUGGGAAAUGCUCCACAAGUGCAGCAGCAUAUGUUUGUUCCAGGUCUUCAACCACAUCCAAUGCCUCAGGGACUCAUGCAUCAGGGACAGGGCAUGGGUUUCACAACUCAAAUGGGUCCUCCCCAACUACCUCCCCAGCUAGGCAAUAUGGGAAUGGGCAUGACCCCACAAUACCCCCAACAGCAGGGAGGAAAAUUUGGUAGCGGUCCUCGUAAAACCAUUGUAAAGAUUACUCAUCCGGACACGCAUAAGGAGGUCAGGCUUGAUGAACGAUCAGAUACAUAUUCGGAUGGUGGGGUCUCAGGCCCUAGGUCUCAAUCCCAACCAAUACCAUCAUUUGCAUCUGCUCAUCCAAUAAAUUAUUACCCUAAUUCUUAUGGUGCAAGUUCCAUUUAUUAUCCAGCACCAGGUUCUCUUCCGUUAACAAGUAGCCAGAUAACACCCAAUUCUCAGGCGACACGAUUUAACUAUCCGGUUGGCCAGGGUCCCCAAAAUGUAUCUUUCAUGAAUCCAAAUCUUAAUUCUCUGCCUGUUAGUAAGACAGGGACCCCAAUGCCUGGUAUUGCGGAACCAACCAAUUUUGAGCAGUCGCGUGAUGCACAUAUUUCAUCUGCCCCUUUAGGAACUGUACAGGUGACAGUUAAACCAGCCUCAGGAUCUGUUGGAGAAAAGAGUGCAGAUUCCUCUUCGUCAGACAUUUCACCUGCAGUUGGUAAGGUUGCAACACCUAAACCUUCAAGGCCUUCCGGGGAAGCUACUACAUCUCAUCAUCAAGGAGACCCGGAGACUUCUCCAGAAAAAUCUUCUCAGAAGAUGAAAUCCAGCAGCGAACUGUUAGUGUCCAAUUCAUUGGCAGGAGCUAUCAAACAGUCUGUUGCAGUUUCUUUACCUGUCUCUACUGAGAGUCUGGCAUCCAAUUCUUUGCCCACGUCAUCAUUUGAGGAGUCUGUACCAGUUGCAAAUGUGGAAGGAAGAAGAAGGGAGUCUCUGAGUAGGUCAAGCUCUAUCAAAGAUAAUCAGAAGAAGCCAGGCAAGAAAGGACAAAUCCAGACACAACAGCAGGUAGUGCCAAACUUUUGAGAUAACUGUUCUUUCAAGUUAUUCUGCUAAUGCCUUAAACCUUUGUCUGCAGGUUGGUGGGCAAUCUACCUCAACCUCUAGCUUGGGCUGGAGAACUGCAGAAACUGGCAUACAAUCCAACAGUGGAGUCUCUGAAACUAAGGAAGCUAAAACAACUAGUGAAUUGUCAUCUGCAAUUGAUGCUUCUACUUCUGAUAUUUCUGAGGCAAAGGAUGAGAGCACUAAGCAGAGUGUUACUUCUGUUUUAGCGGAAAUAUCUGGUGCUGGAAAUGCUGCGAAUGUCUUGGACACCGAUUGUGAUGCUAAGAAAAAGCUAGGUGAAUUUCCUCCACAAGAAUCUUUGGGAACAGAGGCUAGGGGAGGAGAGACCUUGGCUGACUGUUUCAAGCAAGAUAUUAUCCCUUCUGAGAUUGCUUCUCAAUCUGCUACUUCGAAAUCUAUAGAACUUGUCAGCCAAACUGAUCAGGAAUCUGUAUUAAAGGCAACAGCUGUUUGCAAUGAGGUUCCAAUAUUGGGAACCACGGAGGAAGUGUUGGGUGAAUCUGCAAGAGCUUCUACUGAAGCUCACAGGGUUGCCGACGAUAUGGAUGCAUCUAGCUCCGGAAUUGCAGAUUCAACAAAUGUUGAAUGUUCACAUGGUAAUAAGACUUCGACUGUGGAUGCCUUGUCAAGCAAAAGUGUAAUACAGCAGCAUCCUGCUCCUGUUUCAGCUACUGAAUUUCUGGAAACAAUCCCAAAAACUGAAGGGGAGGUUCUGGAUAAUAGUGGUGCUGGCUCAGUCUUACUUCCAGUAUCGGGUUCCAAGGAUAUGCCUGUAGUAGAAUUAAAUAGAUCAAAGAGCUCUAUUACUAGAGGAAAGAAGAAGAGAAGAGAAAUCCUUCUGAAAGCUGAUGCUGCCGGGACAACUUCAGAUCUUUACAUGGCUUAUAAGGGUCCUGAGGAGAAGGAGGCUGCCAUGCCUUUAGAAAGUGCUCAAGACACAUCUACUAUUGCGAAUUCAAAGCAAGUAGCUGCUGAUACUGUUCAUGUACAUGCUGUAGCCAGUGAAAAAAGUGUUCAUAGUAAAGCAGAGCCUGAUGAUUGGGAAGAUGCUGCUGACAUGUCAACACCAAAAUUAGAACCUUUAGAUGAAGAUGGAAAUGGAAAUCUGGGGAAGAAGUAUUCAAGAGAUUUUCUCCUGAAGUUUGCUGAACAAUGUACUGAUCUUCCAGAGGGUUUUGAGAUAGCAGCUGAUAUAGCAGAGGCUUUGAUGAGUGGUAAUAUCAAUAUUUCUCAUCUUGUUGAUCGUGAUUCGUAUCCUAGUCCUGGAAGAGCAACGGAUAGGCAAUCGGGGGGGCCUCGAGUUGAUCGUCGUGGAAGCGUAAUGGUUGAUGAUGAUAGAUGGGGUAGACUACCUGGUCCAAGUUUGGGGAGGGAUUUGCGUCUGGAUGUUGGUUAUGGUGCUAAUGCAGGAUUCCGUCCUGGCCAAGGUGGUAACUAUGGCGUUUUGAGAAAUCCCCGACCACAAAUACCUAUGCAGUAUCCUGGAGGUAUCCUACCUGGGCCUAUGCAGCCCAUGGGUUCUCAGGGAGGGAUGCAAAGAAAUAGUCCUGAUGCUGACAGGUGGCAACGCAUUGCUAAUUUCCAACAGAAGGGUUUAAUUCCUUCUCCUCAGACUCCUUUGCAGAUGAUGCACAAAGCUGAUAGAAAAUAUGAAGUCGGUAAAGUGCAAGAUGGGGAAGAGGCCAAGCAGAGGCAGCUGAAAGCUAUUUUGAACAAGCUAACUCCUCAAAACUUCGAGAAACUCUUUGAGCAAGUAAAAGCAGUAAACAUCGACAAUGCUGUUACACUCACUGGUGUGAUCUCUCAAAUUUUUGACAAAGCUUUAAUGGAGCCUACUUUCUGUGAGAUGUAUGCAAACUUCUGUUAUUUUCUUGCUGGAGAGCUACCUGAUUUCAGUGAAGACAAUGAAAAAAUUACUUUCAAGAGACUGCUUCUGAACAAAUGCCAAGAGGAAUUUGAGAGAGGAGAGAGAGAGCAAGAAGAAGCUAACAAAGCUGAUAAAGAGGGGGAGAUUAAGCAGACCGAGGAAGAAAGAGAAGAGAAGAGAAUCAAGGCUCGAAGACGAUGGCUAGGCAACAUUAGACUAAUUGGUGAGUUGUACAAGAAGAAAAUGUUGACUGAGAGAAUAAUGCACUGCUGUACGGCCAAGGCGGAUGUACGGUACAGCAGCUAAUAAAUAGAGAAAUUUUCUUUUAAAUUUGACCUUGGCUGACUGUUUCAAGCAAGAUAUUAUCCCUUCUGAGAUUGCUUCUCAAUCUGCUACUUCGAAAUCUAUAGAACUUGUCAGCCAAACUGAUCAGGAAUCUGUAUUAAAGGCAACAGCUGUUUGCAAUGAGGUUCCAAUAUUGGGAACCACGGAGGAAGUGUUGGGUGAAUCUGCAAGAGCUUCUACUGAAGCUCACAGGGUUGCCGACGAUAUGGAUGCAUCUAGCUCCGGAAUUGCAGAUUCAA